GUAACGGUGUCUUUAGACACCACCUAUUCUUGGAAUUAAUAACUCU
Picea glauca (white spruce) is the source of this 46-nucleotide non-coding RNA. Lineage: Eukaryota; Viridiplantae; Streptophyta; Pinopsida; Pinales; Pinaceae. The record is from Rfam.